UACAGAGGGUGCAAGCGUUAAUCGGAAUUACUGGGCGUAAAGCGCACGUAGGCGGUUUUUUAAGUCAGAUGUGAAAGCCCCGGGCUCAACCUGGGAAUUGCAUUUGAAACUGGGGAACUAGAGUGUGUGAGAGGGGGGUAGAAUUCCAAGUGUAGCGGUGAAAUGCGUAGGGAUUUGGAGGAAUACCAAGUGGCGAAAGGCGGCCCCCUGGCACAACACUGACGCUCAGGUGCGAAAAGCGUGGGGGAGCAAACAGG
Molecule: ribosomal RNA, 257 nt
Filed under: uncultured bacterium
Lineage: Bacteria
Description: partial 16S ribosomal RNA
Rfam family: Bacterial small subunit ribosomal RNA
Source: RNAcentral